UCCUAGAGGGCCGUCUGGGGGGUCCUCUGGGACCUUGGGUUGGCAGUGUCUCGGGGCCGCAGUCCACUUCACCUGAGCCCUUUGCGGCACGUGGCUGUCUCACGAUUCCCCAGCGGGACUUGGGGCUUUGUUGCUGCAUCUGGCUGUACCCGGGAGGCACUGACAUGUCUGCUCACCGCUUGAUCCGCAGGGGCUGUGUUUGUGCUUUCUGGCAUUGUAUUCGGCCCCGAGCGCUUACUGGACACUCAAGAAGUGGCUGUCCCUUCUCUGGCUGCUGUCUGCUAGCCCUCUCACCAGCCUGGGCUCUGUCACUCGGCCUGUCUGCUUUAAGGAAUACUCAGUCUACCCCAGCACACUCCCUCUGCUUGAAGAGCGGGUUGGAAGGAGAAAGGUGUCCUCUUUCUGCUCAUGUGGAAAUUGCCUGGGAAGCUAGUAGCUGUUGGCUCUGAAGGCAGUUGGCUGUCCUGAGUUUUCGAGUCCCUUGGAAGGAUUCUGGGGAGUUGGCCGAUUGGCUGCAGACCCAAGCUCAUCUGACGAUGUGAACAGCCUCCUGAGACCUGCAGGAAUGUGAUGACAUCAGUCCUUGUCCCCCUAGCUGGUCCACUUUAGCUCAUGGGAUCCUCUGACGACCUCCCUGGAAGGAGACGCUCCCUUACAGAUGGGGAAGCUGGGCCUUUUGGCUGAAGUCAUUGAUUCCCGAGGUCACACGGCUGUAGGUGAGCUGGGAUUACUCAGUGGCCUGGCCGGGUGUGGACACCUGUGGAUCUUGGCGGGGGUGUGGGCUGCUCAGCGCUGGGUGACCACAGCGGGACUGAUGUGUGAGGCCACGGCACUGUGGGUUCUUGCUCGUCGGGCCUCCCUCCACGUUUGGGUUUGCAGGGGUCCUGACUCCUAACUCCGGGCGUGUCCACGUGAGGGGGGACAAUCACUAAACUCUGUAAACAUCAUGGGGAUUUUUAAGAACAUCCUUGCUCAGGCCUGGGGUUGCUAUGUUUCUGUGUUCUUGGCUCACUGUGUUUUCCUGGAAAAAUAAAUAAAUAA
Long non-coding RNA from Prionailurus viverrinus (fishing cat), 1041 nucleotides. RefSeq lists it as uncharacterized. The record is from RefSeq and is a predicted model, not a curated record. Lineage: Eukaryota; Metazoa; Chordata; Mammalia; Carnivora; Felidae. The transcript is spliced from 3 exons.